Molecule: unclassified non-coding RNA, 1146 nt
Filed under: Hevea brasiliensis (rubber tree)
Lineage: Eukaryota; Viridiplantae; Streptophyta; Magnoliopsida; Malpighiales; Euphorbiaceae
Source: RNAcentral
AAAGCUCCAUAAUUCCUUGUUGCCUGCAAGAAAAAGAUAUAUUUUCAGGUUCAGGUACAGCUAUAAAGUGAAAAUAACCAAUAGAACACACACAUAAAUAUCAAAUCCAUCUAGAACAUCAUAUUAUAACCCAUGGAGUUGUAUGCAACAGACCAUAUCCAAAUAUGAAACAACACUACUUGCAGAAAUAUACAAGGAGUAUCACUUCAUCUUUCUAGUUAAGAAAUUGAUGACUCCCAUUAACCAGUUAACCUUCAAGGAAACAUCAUAGAUGGUUGGGCAGAGGUAUUCACUUUCUCUAGCAAUAACAGGUAUUAUGUCCACCAUUGCAGCAAUCAAUCAAGUCAUAAGAAUAGACACAAUAGGUAAAAGCUGUCCUUAAGCUAGAAAUCAGCUAUCCCCUCAAAAAUCAUUUAUAACCUGCUCCAAAAACUCAAAUAUGACAAUUCCCUUUCGUCCUCCAUGUUUUGCUAGUAAGAAUAUACAUGUUACCAUUAUUUUUCAAUAUUGCACUCUCCAAAAGAUAUCAAAUACUGUAACAAAGAGGAUAGAUAAUUUCAAGCCUUAACAAAAAUAAUGGAUGUGAAAGUUUUUGCCUGAAGAUAAUUAAGGGGCUGCCCCAUUUUUUCACAAAAAUCACUUCAAUAGAAUUGCCAAGGUAAAACAUAGCAAAAUUCUAAAUUAAUUAUAGCAAUUUUAGAUGCCUACUUAAGACAGAACAUAAUAAAGGUAAUAUGGAUUCUAAAACUAAAGGGCUAAGUAAAGGUUGAUGAUAGCAGUUUGGAGCAACCAGAUUUUGGUAAUUAAAGUAGAGAGGAAGUAUAUGCCCAAUUAAAUUCCCAAGUGAGAAUAAAACUAUGGAAACAAAUUAAUGCACAUUACCACUAAAGUCGUGACUACAACUCCCAUUAACCUGUCUACGGUGAAGAUUGGGAACCAGAACAAAGAAAUAGAAUAAAAUAUGUCUACCCUAACACACUAAUUUUAGAUUAAUGCAACUGAGUUUCAAUAUUUAAGCAAGUCGCAGACAAAUACAGGACAAAUACUGUAAAAAGGGAUAUAGACAAUGUAAAAAAGAAUCAUACCGUAAAAAAGAACUAAAAUCAAAUCAAUAUGAGAUGAAGUUAAAUGAGAGCAGAAAUUAAG